Long non-coding RNA from Alosa alosa (allis shad), 617 nucleotides. RefSeq lists it as uncharacterized. Lineage: Eukaryota; Metazoa; Chordata; Actinopteri; Clupeiformes; Clupeidae. The transcript is spliced from 3 exons. The record is from RefSeq and is a predicted model, not a curated record.
GAAGCCAAGUUGUAGCUCCGAACUUACUGACAAUAGCCUAAGCAUGAUCAAUGGCAACAUCCGACUCUGAUAGGCCUGCCUAUACAAAGAGAUGAAGAGACUGUCUGACUGAUUUUUGUUCAAAAAAGUGAAAUAAUACUGUUCAUAAUAUUUUUCCCCUCAGGACCAGACAGUGUGACAUGUUUUCAGUUCUGUGCAAGGAACCACCAUCACACCAUGGAAGACGUCAAUGUCAACAGCAGAAGGAAAAUUACUCUGCAGGCCCUUCCCAUCUUCCUGUAGGAAGAUGGAUUUUUUAAGACCUGGAAUGCAGAAGAAAUUGACCUGCCAGACUUCUCGGAUGCAGCUGUAGCUAUUCUCACUGUCUCGGGUGAUACAGACUCCCUUGUGAAGUUUGGUCCUGCUAUCCAUUCUAUAGUUCUUGACGGAGAUAUUGUUGUUUGUGAUAUAGCAGAGUUGACAGAGACAUAAUUUGGCUAUUUGGCUUAAUUUAUGCACUUCAUCUCGAUUAUCCAAAGCAAUUGUCCUACACAUUUAAUUUCAUUCAAAAAAUUAUAAUGGGUUUGGAAAACCUGAAGUGGUUACCUCCUAGACUGCUGCUUAGCCUUAAAAAUAAA